GACGAACGCUGGCGGCGUGCUUAACACAUGCAAGUCGAACGGAAAGGCCCUGCUUGUGUGGGGUGCUCGAGUGGCGAACGGGUGAGUAACACGUGAGUAACCUGCCCUUGACUUUGGGAUAACUUCAGGAAACUGGGGCUAAUACCGGAUAGGAGCUCCUGCUGCAUGGUGGGGGUUGGAAAGUUUCGGCGGUUGGGGAUGGACUCGCGGCUUAUCAGCUUGUUGGUGGGGUAGUGGCUUACCAAGGCUUUGACGGGUAGCCCGCCUGAGAGGGUGACCGGCCACAUUGGGCCUGCGAUACGCCCCAGACUCCUACGUGAGGCAGCAGUGGCGAAUAUUGCACAAUGGGCCGAAGCCUGAUGCAGCGACGCCGCGUUCGGGAUGACGGCCUUCGGGUUGUAAACCGCUUUCGCCUGUGACGAAGCGUGAGUGACGGUACUGGGUAAAGAAGCACCGGCUAACUACGUG
Molecule: ribosomal RNA, 468 nt
Filed under: uncultured bacterium
Lineage: Bacteria
Description: partial 16S ribosomal RNA
Rfam family: Bacterial small subunit ribosomal RNA
Source: RNAcentral